UAGGGAAUCUUCCACAAUGGACGCAAGUCUGAUGGAGCAACGCCGCGUGAGUGAAGAAGGUUUUCGGAUCGUAAAGCUCUGUUGUUGGUGAUGAAGGAUAGAGGUAGUAACUGGCCUUUAUUUGACGGUAAUCAACCAGAAAGUCACGUCUAACUACGUGCCAGCAGCCGCGGUAAUACGUAGGUGGCAAGCGUUGUCCGGAUUUAUUGGGCGUAAAGCGAGCGCAGGCGGAAGAAUAAGUCUGAUGUGAAAGCCCUCGGCUUAACCGAGGAACUGCAUCGGAAACUGUUUUUCUUGAGUGCAGAAGAGGAGAGUGGAAUUCCAUGUGUAGCGGUGGAAUGCGUAGAUAUAUGGAAGAACACCAGUGGCGAAGGCGACUCUCUGGUCUGCGACUGACGCUGAAGCUCGAAAGAAUGGGUAGCGAACAGG
Molecule: ribosomal RNA, 429 nt
Filed under: bacterium
Lineage: Bacteria
Description: partial 16S ribosomal RNA
Rfam family: Bacterial small subunit ribosomal RNA
Source: RNAcentral